GGCCUGGGCCAGGGGGCACUGGGGAGACAGAGCGCCUCGGUCAGACUGGGCUGCACACACAGCGGACCCGCUGGCCGUGCCCCCAGCGUCUCCCCCGUCACAGGGCGGAUCCAGGCCACCCCAGCCUGGUGCUGUGUGGGGCUCCCCUGCUCUCUCUCCUGCAGCACUCCCGGCGCUCCUGGGCUCAGAAGUUUCUGAGAAAGCACCAUUUAGCCCCCGGCUCCCGCCUUCCCUUGAAGCGCUCCUGUGAAUAUUCUUCAGGAACGGAGGUUAGGAGCCCUGAUCUCCGAGCCCAGGGCUACACAGAAGAAUGUCGCUGGUUUCGGGGCCUGCCCUCAGCAGCACCGGGCUUGUUUUUCAGGUUUAGGUCAAUGGAGGGUUUUUGUUUUCUACAGGAACGAAACCCAGGGCGCUGGGUCUCGUCCUACUGGGAGACAUGGGGCAUCCUGGCAGAUGGGCCCAGGUGUUCUGGGCGUGUCUCGCCCACCCCCGACCCCCACCCCAACCCGCACCGGGAGCCCCUGCCUUCCUGGGGGUGGGGCAGGCCCCCUCCAGGAAGGAAUGUUCCACCUAGGGAAGCCCAGCUCCCUCGCCAAGGCCCCCCUGUGGAGGUGGGGGCCGAGGGCAGGCGGGUCUCAGGGUGAAAGGGAGGCAUUGAGAGAUCAGGGGCGGGGCGCAGAGGCGAAUGGGCAGGGGCGGGAGGAGGGGCGUGUCCCGGCCGGUCCCUGGACUGGGGGUGCACGCGCUGCUCAGCCCACAAAUCGGAGCAGCCCCCAGGACUUGCCCGAGGCAAGCGGAAAGCCCAGGGCUCCGCCGGCACAGAGCUGCCGCUCAGAGCCCGAAUUCUUGGAUGCAGACAAUUCACUUGCUCCCCCGCCACCUCGCCCUUCCACGGCACUCACCGCUCGUGGGGGCACAGGAGCGUUACUGCCCGCGCCUUCCACGGAAACUCAGCACGCAAACCCGCAACUGGCAGACGGCAGGACCAAGCGGAGCUGCCCUGGCAUCACACGAGGCGGCCGGCUGCUCACCCCCAGGCCGACAGCCUCCUGAAAGGGCAGACUUGCAGCCUCUCCCUGCUCCUGCUGGGAGAAGCAGGCGGCGUCUCCGGCAUCUCGUGGUUUCUCCCUCUUCCGUGAGGCCCACGGAGUUGUUGUUGUUGUUUUCUUUGCCUUCUCUUUUUAUGAAGAUGAAAUCCACACAACACGAAACUAUUUUAAAGUGAACGAUUCAGCGGCAUUUAUUACGUUCACAAUGUUGUACGAACACCAUCUCAGUCUAGUUUCAGAACAUUUUCAUGGCCCCCAAAGGCCCACCCAUGCUCUCCCCCCAGCCCCUGGGGCUUGGUGGGCCAAGUUUAUAUGAUGCUGACCAAAUUAUUUUUAUUUGGCUGUGCCAGAUCUCUGUUGCCACGUGCAGGAUCUAGUUCCCUGACCAGGGAUCGAACCCUGGCCCCCCUGCAUUGGGAGUGUGGAGUCUUAGCCACUGGACCGCCAGGGAAGUACCCUGCUCAGAUUAUUUUUAACACUCCCCUUCUCUAUAAGACAAAAUUGUUUUCAGUAAUAAUUAUGGAAAGAUGAUUAUUUUCUAGAUUUGUUCCUUGAUUUUCAAGCCAUCAACAAUUUAGGAAAGAAUUCAUUUCUAUUUUUGAAAAUGUGAUCCCAAAUCAGUAGACUAUUUCACACGUGAACUAAAUGUUAACACUUAAUAAAAACAUCACACCUUGCA
This is a long non-coding RNA of Bos mutus (wild yak), 1728 nucleotides long. The record is from Ensembl. NCBI's taxonomy places the organism in Eukaryota, Metazoa, Chordata, Mammalia, Artiodactyla, Bovidae.